Molecule: ribosomal RNA, 497 nt
Filed under: uncultured bacterium
Lineage: Bacteria
Description: partial 16S ribosomal RNA
Rfam family: Bacterial small subunit ribosomal RNA
Source: RNAcentral
GAUGAACGCUGGCGGCGUGCCUAAUACAUGCAAGUCGAGCGAACGGACGAGAAGCUUGCUUCUCUGAUGUUAGCGGCGGACGGGUGAGUAACACGUGGAUAACCUACCUAUAAGACUGGGAUAACUUCGGGAAACCGGAGCUAAUACCGGAUGAUAUUUUGAACCGCAUGGUUCAAAAGUGAAAGACGGUCUUGCUGUCACUUAUAGAUGGAUCCGCGCUGCAUUAGCUAGUUGGUAAGGUAACGGCUUACCAAGGCAACGAUGCAUAGCCGACCUGAGAGGGUGGUCGGCCACACUGGAACUGAGACACGGUCCAGACUCCUACGGGAGGCAGCAGUAGGGAAUCUUCCGCAAUGGGCGAAAGCCUGACGGAGCAACGCCGAGUGAGUGAUGAAGGUCUUCGGAUCGUAAAACUCUGUUAUUAGGGAAGAACAUAUGUGUAAGUAACUGUGCACAUCUUGACGGUACCUAAUCAGAAAGCCACGGCUAACUACGUG